GGGGUUGUGGCUCAGUGGUAGAGUGCUUGCCUAGCAUGCACGAGGCCUUGGGUUUGAUCCUCAACACCACA
RNAcentral lists this transfer RNA (71 nucleotides) under Marmota monax (woodchuck). RNAcentral describes it as "tRNA.Ala". It matches the Rfam family "tRNA". Rfam says of the family: Transfer RNA (tRNA) molecules are approximately 80 nucleotides in length. Their secondary structure includes four short double-helical elements and three loops (D, anti-codon, and T loops). The record is from RNAcentral. Lineage: Eukaryota; Metazoa; Chordata; Mammalia; Rodentia; Sciuridae.